Molecule: long non-coding RNA, 1107 nt
Filed under: Anolis carolinensis (green anole)
Lineage: Eukaryota; Metazoa; Chordata; Lepidosauria; Squamata; Anolidae
Description: lncRNA (ENSACAG00000033500.2)
Source: RNAcentral
AUUUUAUGUGGUGUCUUAUUAUUUUGGUCUGUUAUGUAACUUGCAUGCUGUCCUCUUUGUUAACAUUUGACUUUUUUUCCAUCUCCCACCUCACAUCAUGAUAAAUGGAAGGGGAUUAAUAAAAUAAAUGCGCUGUGAGUUGAAAAUGCAUUCUGCCGACUUUUGUAUGACUGAUGAUCUAAGAAUCCCUUAAUUCACAUCCAAGCAAACUAUUUCCAGAAACAUGGGGACAUCAGGGGAAAAACAGCUCUCCAUAAAGCAAAAAUAAAACAAAAACGUUGAUAGUCAGCCCUCCACACUUGCAGGUUUGACUUUUGUUGAUUUGAUUGUUUGCAGAUUUGUUUAAAAUGUUCCCUCUAGGAAUCUUUAGGUCCUCCAUGGAUUCAUGCUAGUAGAUCUAGAGAUUCCUAGAAAGAGUUCUAUGAAUCUCUAGGUUCUCCAACAGGAUUCUUUAGUCAGUUUCUGGUGGAAGUUAGCCAUAGUCAUGCUGAAGCACCUGGUGAAUUUGUCCAUUGCAGACAGAAAAGAAAUCUAAGUCUGCAACAAUCCAAAAAGUGGGUUCUGAUGUUAUAAGACUUAGAAUAAUAGAAUCAUAGACUUACACCACUCUAACUCACUAUUAGAAGGCAUGUUGUUUAUAUUUAUUUCUUACUACAGUCAACAAGUUGCAGAUUGAGCUCACGAGGGGCCGGCUUCUGUUUUGUUUACUGCUGAUUGUUGACUUUGAAGUGGAAGUAUCCUGUUCUAUUCUUCAGUAUCCUGUUCACCAGCAACACAGAACUCCAUCCCUUGAUGCAGCCAGAUGGAUUUUAAGGUGACAAUGAAACAUCCAUAUUGAAACUGCUGAGACGUACCAUAACAUGAUGCACGGUGUCUGAUGAAACUUGUGGAGCAUAACAAUAAAGCUGUGUGUCAUCAACGUAAAAGUCAUAACACUAAAUAAGAUUACCUAGCAACAAUGGAUAUAAAAUGAAAGCAACAAAGGACCCAGAGAAGAACCAUAUGUAGACUCUACCAAAAGAGAAAAAUUGCAUGAGACAGAACCAUAAGCCAGAACAUUAAAAUAAUGGACUGAGAGAUAGAAAGUAAGUAUUUAAUACUUGUGGG